Molecule: ribosomal RNA, 1090 nt
Filed under: Leuconostoc mesenteroides
Lineage: Bacteria; Bacillati; Bacillota; Bacilli; Lactobacillales; Lactobacillaceae
Description: bacterial SSU rRNA
Rfam family: Bacterial small subunit ribosomal RNA
Source: RNAcentral
AACGGGAGGCUGCAGUAGGGAAUCUUCCACAAUGGGCGAAAGCCUGAUGGAGCAACGCCGCGUGUGUGAUGAAGGCUUUCGGGUCGUAAAGCACUGUUGUAUGGGAAGAACAGCUAGAAUAGGAAAUGAUUUUAGUUUGACGGUACCAUACCAGAAAGGGACGGCUAAAUACGUGCCAGCAGCCGCGGUAAUACGUAUGUCCCGAGCGUUAUCCGGAUUUAUUGGGCGUAAAGCGAGCGCAGACGGUUUAUUAAGUCUGAUGUGAAAGCCCGGAGCUCAACUCCGGAAUGGCAUUGGAAACUGGUUAACUUGAGUGCAGUAGAGGUAAGUGGAACUCCAUGUGUAGCGGUGGAAUGCGUAGAUAUAUGGAAGAACACCAGUGGCGAAGGCGGCUUACUGGACUGCAACUGACGUUGAGGCUCGAAAGUGUGGGUAGCAAACAGGAUUAGAUACCCUGGUAGUCCACACCGUAAACGAUGAACACUAGGUGUUAGGAGGUUUCCGCCUCUUAGUGCCGAAGCUAACGCAUUAAGUGUUCCGCCUGGGGAGUACGACCGCAAGGUUGAAACUCAAAGGAAUUGACGGGGACCCGCACAAGCGGUGGAGCAUGUGGUUUAAUUCGAAGCAACGCGAAGAACCUUACCAGGUCUUGACAUCCUUUGAAGCUUUUAGAGAUAGAAGUGUUCUCUUCGGAGACAAAGUGACAGGUGGUGCAUGGUCGUCGUCAGCUCGUGUCGUGAGAUGUUGGGUUAAGUCCCGCAACGAGCGCAACCCUUAUUGUUAGUUGCCAGCAUUCAGAUGGGCACUCUAGCGAGACUGCCGGUGACAAACCGGAGGAAGGCGGGGACGACGUCAGAUCAUCAUGCCCCUUAUGACCUGGGCUACACACGUGCUACAAUGGCGUAUACAACGAGUUGCCAACCCGCGAGGGUGAGCUAAUCUCUUAAAGUACGUCUCAGUUCGGAUUGUAGUCUGCAACUCGACUACAUGAAGUCGGAAUCGCUAGUAAUCGCGGAUCAGCACGCCGCGGUGAAUACGUUCCCGGGUCUUGUACACACCGCCCGUCACACCAUGGGAGUUUGUAAUGCCC